RNAcentral lists this ribosomal RNA (607 nucleotides) under Micrometula hyalostriata. RNAcentral's name for it is "bacterial SSU rRNA". It matches the Rfam family "Eukaryotic small subunit ribosomal RNA", at positions 1220 to 1547 of the family's 1831-position model. The record is from RNAcentral. Lineage: Eukaryota; Foraminifera; Allogromiidae.
GGGUCCGGACACACUGAGGAUUGACAGGCAAAAGAUACAAGUUUUCUUUGUGAGAGCUUGCAUUGUAAAAUAUGCGAGUCCUUUCAUGAUUAUGUGAUAGGUGGUGCAUGGCCGUUCUUAGUUCGUGGAGUGAUCUGUCUGCUUAAUUGCGUUUCACAACGAUUUAAAAUGCUAUGUUUUCUGUGUUUGCUGUUCGGUUUUAGCUCUUACGGGAGUUUUUAACUUUGAGCGCACACGGCGUAGCUUAAAACAAUCGGAAAGCAACGAACGUGACCGCAACCUCUUGUUGCCUUUAUUUUUAAAAGCGUAGAAAAUUUCAUAUUUUCUUACGCUUGAAAAAGGCUUUAAAACUAGAGGGACCGCUGUUCUAUUCUCUUAAACCAGAGGAAGAUUGCGGCAAUAACAGGUCUGUGAUGCCCUCAGAUGUUCCGGGCUGCACACGUGCUACAAUGAUUGUUGCAGUGAGCAUCUAUUUUCAAACGCUACCGUUGCGGAUUUUGUGAGAAGGGGGCUUGUUUUAAAGCUUUCGGGUGGAGAAGCAGGUUCUUUUUUUCACAAUUUAUUCCGCGUUACGUGUCAGCUAAACCUGCUUCGAAAGCAAGUAGGU